RNAcentral lists this ribosomal RNA (492 nucleotides) under Triticum aestivum (bread wheat). RNAcentral's name for it is "partial small subunit ribosomal RNA". The record is from RNAcentral. Lineage: Eukaryota; Viridiplantae; Streptophyta; Magnoliopsida; Poales; Poaceae.
AUGACCUACUACCCUGCAUGCCCCGUGGGUCAUGAUAAAGUUUUGGGGAUUUCACCCCAUUCCGACAUUUCAAUGCUAACGCUGGUAUGGGAGCUGAAUAUGGUGGGAGGGCUCCAGAUCAAGAGACAAGAUGCAGGGGUGCCGGUAAAACCCCAGCCCAAGGCAUUGGCGGUGAAUGUUGGUGACUUUCUUGAGAUAUUGACAAAUGGAAAGUACCAAAACAUUGAGCACAGGGUCACCGUUAAUCCUCACAAGAAGAGGAUGUCCAAUUCUGCUUUUCACCUCCCAAAGUUUGAUAUGAGCGUGGGCCCACUAUCUGAAAUAGUUGGAGCCGAGGUCAAGAAAUACAAGACCCUGAGGGUGGACGAGGUUGCUAUGCCAUGCUUAGCGUCUGAGUCUACAAGAGCAGAAAUUUCAACAGCCGUAGUUGCUAUAAUAAACUAUAUAGGCCCGAAACAUUUGCGCUGCUCCACUUUGGUCAUGGUUAAUUGA